CACUGGUGUUCGGGUUGUCAUGCCAAUGGCACUGCCCGGUAGCUAAAUGCGGAAGAGAUAAGUGCUGAAAGCAUCUAAGCACGAAACUUGCCCCGAGAUGAGUUCUCCCUGACCCUUUAAGGUCCUGAAGGAACGUUGAAGACGACGACGUUGAUAGGCCGGGUGUGUAAGCGCAGCGAUGCGUUGAGCUAACCGGUACUAAUGAACCGUGAGGCUUAACCUU
This 223-nucleotide ribosomal RNA is filed under the name Shigella flexneri. RNAcentral describes it as "partial 23S ribosomal RNA". It matches the Rfam family "Bacterial large subunit ribosomal RNA", at positions 2707 to 2925 of the family's 2925-position model. The record is from RNAcentral. Lineage: Bacteria; Pseudomonadati; Pseudomonadota; Gammaproteobacteria; Enterobacterales; Enterobacteriaceae.